This 1588-nucleotide ribosomal RNA is filed under the name metagenome. RNAcentral's name for it is "bacterial LSU rRNA". It matches the Rfam family "Bacterial large subunit ribosomal RNA", at positions 1311 to 2925 of the family's 2925-position model. The record is from RNAcentral.
GAGAGAGAGGUGGGAAUCCUCUCGGCCGAAUAUCUAAGGUUUCCAGGGUAAAGCUGAUCUGCCCUGGGUAAGUCGGGGCCUAAGGCGAGGACGAGAGUCGUAGCCGAUGGACAACAGGUUGAGAUUCCUGUACUGCAGUAAGACAGAACUGUGGGGACACGUGUGGAGAGCAUAGGCGCGGAAUGGAAAGCCGCGUGCAAGCGAGGUAGGGGUCCUGUAGGAAAAACCGCAGGGCAAUCCGAAGGCGUGAUGCGGACCGAAAUCUAGUAGGGAAGUAUGUGAGCCAUGCGUCAAGAAAAGCCGCUAUUGUUCUUAUUGUACCUGUACCGUAAACCGACACAGGUGGAUGAGGAGAGAAUCCUAAGGCCGACGGAAGAAGCAUUGUUAAGGAACUCGGCAAAAUGACCCCGUAACUUCGGGAGAAGGGGUGCCACAGAAAUGUGGCCGCAGAGAAUAGGCUCUAGCAACUGUUUAGCAAAAACACAGGUCUAUGCAAAACCGAAAGGUGAGGUAUAUGGGCUGACGCCUGCCCGGUGCUGGAAGGUUAAGAGGAGAGGUUAGCGCAAGCGAAGCUUUGAAUUGAAGCCCCAGUAAACGGCGGCCGUAACGAUAACGGUCCUAAGGUAGCGAAAUUCCUUGUCGGGUAAGUUCCGACCCGCACGAAAGGCGUAAUGAUUUGAGCGCUGUCUCGACAAUGCAUCCGGUGAAAUUGAAGUACCAGUGAAGAUGCUGGUUACCUGCGCCAGGACGGAAAGACCCCAUGGAGCUUUACUCCAGCCUGAUACUGGGAUUCGGUAUUGCAUGUACAGGAUAGGUGGGAGACUGAGAAUCGGUAACGCCAGUUGCCGAGGAGCCAUUGUUGGGAUACCACCCUUGCAGUACUGGGUUUCUAACCAGCAGCCGUGACCCGGCUGGGGGACAAUGUCAGGUGGGGAGUUUGACUGGGGCGGUCGCCUCCGAAAGGGUAUCGGAGGCGCUCAAAGGUUCCCUCAGAAUGGUUGGAAACCAUUCGAAGAGUGCAAAGGCAGAAGGGAGCUUGACUGCGACACCGACGGGUGGAGCAGGUACGAAAGUAGGACUUAGUGAUCCGGUGGUAUUAAGUGGGAAUGCCAUCGCUCAACGGAUAAAAGCUACCCUGGGAUAACAGGCUUAUCACUCCCAAGAGUUCACAUCGACGGAGUGGUUUGGCACCUCGAUGUCGGCUCAUCGCAUCCUGGGGCUGUAGUAGGUCCCAAGGGUUGGGCUGUUCGCCCAUUAAAGCGGUACGCGAGCUGGGUUCAGAACGUCGUGAGACAGUUCGGUCCCUAUCCGGCGUGGGCGUAGGAUAUCUGAGAGGAGCUGUCCUUAGUACGAGAGGACCGGGAUGGACGGACCGCUGGUGUACCUGUUGCAGUGCCAGCUGCAUGGCAGGGUAGCCAAGUCCGGAAGGGAUAAACGCUGAAGGCAUCUAAGCGUGAAGCCCCCCUCAAGAUGAGAUAUCCCAUUCGAAAGAAGUAAGACCCCUUGAAGACGACGAGGUAGAUAGGGCAGAGGUGGAAGUGCAGUAAUGUAUGGAGCUGACUGUUACUAAUCGGUCGAGGGUUUGACC